UCUAUGAAGUCUCACGAACUGAUAUUUGAAAUGGAAAAUUCACCAAAGGUAGAAGAAGAAAGGCCAACAGCUUGACAUUGCGGGCUCAGAAAGUUGAUUCCAAGAGUGAGAAACAUCUGAAUCUGGUAUCUAUGGAGUAGUCAAGUAUCUUAAGUAAGACUCUGUAUCCAGAUAUAGAACCAUAUAGUACUGGAGUUUUGAAGGUCUCUGAUGUUCAUACUAUCUAUUGGGAACAGUCUGGGAAUCCAGAUGGUCAUCUUGAGAGCCCUUUAGAGACCACAUCCCAGAAAAUGAAAGGGGGAGCUUCAUUAAUGCCUACUGGAAAAGAUUAAACUCUGAGAACAAGGAAACACAAUAUGGAGCUGCCAGAGAAUGGACAAAGUGGGAGAUGAUGAUUGCUCACCUCCUUCCCAAUGAAGAGACUAUUAAGAGAGGAGAUGAUGAUGAAUUUUCCCUGGUCAGU
This is a long non-coding RNA of Impatiens glandulifera, 463 nucleotides long. RefSeq lists it as uncharacterized. The transcript is spliced from 3 exons. The record is from RefSeq and is a predicted model, not a curated record. Lineage: Eukaryota; Viridiplantae; Streptophyta; Magnoliopsida; Ericales; Balsaminaceae.